RNAcentral lists this ribosomal RNA (679 nucleotides) under uncultured bacterium. Its description in RNAcentral is "bacterial SSU rRNA". It matches the Rfam family "Bacterial small subunit ribosomal RNA", at positions 803 to 1500 of the family's 1533-position model. The record is from RNAcentral.
UAAACUAUGGAUGCUAGCUGUUAUCAGUAUCGACCCCUGNUAGUAGCGAAGCUAAGNGCGUUAAGCAUCCCGCCUGUGGAGUAGGAGCGCAAGCUUAAAACAUAAAGGAAUUGACCGGGGACCCGCACAAGCGGUGGAGCGUGUUGUUNAAUUCGACGGUAAACGAAGAACCUUACCCAGGCUUGACAUCCUGCCAAGCUCUGCGAAAGCAGAGUGUGCCUUCGGGCCCGCAGUGANCAGGUGAUGCAUGGCCGUCGUCAGCUCGUGUCGUGAGAUGUUUGGUUAAGUCCAUUAACGAGCGCAACCCUUAUAGUCUGUUGGAUUUUUCAGGCUAGACUGCCCCGGUAACGGGGAGGAAGGAGGGGAUGAUGUCAGGUCAUUAUUUCCCUUACGUCUGGGGCUACAAACACGAUACAAUGGCCGGUACAAAGGGCAGCCAACCCGCGAGGGGGAGCAAAUCCCAUCAAAGCCGGUCUCAGUUCGGAUUGUAGGCUGAAACUCGCCUGCAUGAAGCUGGAAUCGCUAGUAACGGUAGGUCAGCUAUACUANCCGUGAAUACGUUCCCGGGUCUUGUACACACCGCCCGUCAAGUCAUGAAAGUCGCCAAUACCCAAAGUCUGAUGCUUGUAUCGGCCUAAGGUAGGGGAGAUGAUUGGGACUAAGUCGUAANCAAGGUACC